This is a long non-coding RNA of Hordeum vulgare subsp. vulgare (domesticated barley), 511 nucleotides long. RefSeq lists it as uncharacterized. NCBI's taxonomy places the organism in Eukaryota, Viridiplantae, Streptophyta, Magnoliopsida, Poales, Poaceae. The transcript is spliced from 2 exons. The record is from RefSeq and is a predicted model, not a curated record.
ACCUCCUAUGUCGAUCGUAUAUCGAGUCUUGUGCGAGUAACCUCCAUACUUGAUUUGUGCUACCACUUGUUCCUACCAUAGGUAGGGUGUGAUGGAGAGUUGCGUACUGGCUUCUAUGCCGAUGGGCAUAACCAGAGAUAUAUGGAGGCGACUGAUGUAUCACUAAGAAGUGUGGUGCCUUGCAUCUACCCUACAACGAGGAUGGCCGCAAGCAAAGGGAGGCAUGUCUACGGUCUAUAGCGAACACGAUAUUGACUUAAGGAAGCAUAAUACUCUAUGUUGGUGACUUGAACGAAAUAAAUAUGUAUCAUGUUUGGAACUUAUUGUAUGGUGAACGAUAUUUUUCAGAGUAAAUAUGUAUCAUGUUCGAUAUUGUUCGGAACUGGAGAUUUCUCGAGUCGCUUCCGUCGUCAGCUUUUAGACAUUUUUGUCCAAUCCCAUGGACCUUCAUGGUCUUGUACCCAAAUUUUGUAUUUGCUUGGAAAUUCUGUAUCAAGUGAGUGUUCACCAA